Molecule: long non-coding RNA, 429 nt
Organism: Micropterus salmoides (largemouth bass)
Lineage: Eukaryota; Metazoa; Chordata; Actinopteri; Centrarchiformes; Centrarchidae
Exons: 4
Source: RefSeq, a predicted model, not a curated record
GAACACUUAAGUAGCACAAAGUGUCACUGCUGGUCACAAAAAUGCCAGAGGUUGAUGGUUGAUGUGCUGUAUAUAUUGAUGUUAAGUUUUAAAUCCUACAAAAGAGCAGGAUGAAAAGUCAGUGAGAACGUUUCCUCAUCAACUGAUACCUCUUGUUCUGAAGUCGGGAUCUGAAAAACUCAUAUAAAGUUACACAAUGAGCCAUCGACAGGAAUACAUAGAAAAAGGUGAAGCUCCUGCCUUCAAACAACGCUCGGUGUCAAACAGAGGGUCAAAGGUCACAGCAGAGAGAGUGGCCCUGCUGGUUCUCAGCGCUCUCCUGGCAGCUGCCGUCAUUGUUAUUUACCGUCUAAUUUUCGCUAACAUUCAAACCAAGAAAAGUUUCCAGACACUGAGAGACGAGCAUGAAGCUCUAAAAAGAACUCACAG